CAGGUUGAGGCAAACCGCCACACGAGCGAUGGUGCUGUCACCGGAGCGAGGCAGUGCCGUCGUGCCAAAAUUCUAAAAUUGGUUGGAAAAGAUUUUUAACACAAAUUUUUUAUUUUUUGGGGUAGUUUUCGGUACGUGAAGUGUGUUUUAAUCUCUAUAGGAAAAUUCAAAAACCUAGGGACCGCUAGUAGGUGUAGUAGAAAGUUCAGUGUUUUGGACACCGAUUCGGGUAAGAGUCCCUCACCUUAUUUCUUGUUAUGAAAUAUAAGCUUAAUAAUCAGUAAUACGG
Molecule: long non-coding RNA, 289 nt
Filed under: Carica papaya (papaya)
Lineage: Eukaryota; Viridiplantae; Streptophyta; Magnoliopsida; Brassicales; Caricaceae
Description: long non-coding RNA (CPAP_LNC003981)
Source: RNAcentral